Molecule: ribosomal RNA, 626 nt
Filed under: Escherichia coli
Lineage: Bacteria; Pseudomonadati; Pseudomonadota; Gammaproteobacteria; Enterobacterales; Enterobacteriaceae
Description: partial 23S ribosomal RNA
Rfam family: Bacterial large subunit ribosomal RNA
Source: RNAcentral
AUGGAGCCGACCUUGAAAUACCACCCUUUAAUGUUUGAUGUUCUAACGUUGACCCGUAAUCCGGGUUGCGGACAGUGUCUGGUGGGUAGUUUGACUGGGGCGGUCUCCUCCUAAAGAGUAACGGAGGAGCACGAAGGUUGGCUAAUCCUGGUCGGACAUCAGGAGGUUAGUGCAAUGGCAUAAGCCAGCUUGACUGCGAGCGUGACGGCGCGAGCAGGUGCGAAAGCAGGUCAUAGUGAUCCGGUGGUUCUGAAUGGAAGGGCCAUCGCUCAACGGAUAAAAGGUACUCCGGGGAUAACAGGCUGAUACCGCCCAAGAGUUCAUAUCGACGGCGGUGUUUGGCACCUCGAUGUCGGCUCAUCACAUCCUGGGGCUGAAGUAGGUCCCAAGGGUAUGGCUGUUCGCCAUUUAAAGUGGUACGCGAGCUGGGUUUAGAACGUCGUGAGACAGUUCGGUCCCUAUCUGCCGUGGGCGCUGGAGAACUGAGGGGGGCUGCUCCUAGUACGAGAGGACCGGAGUGGACGCAUCACUGGUGUUCGGGUUGUCAUGCCAAUGGCACUGCCCGGUAGCUAAAUGCGGAAGAGAUAAGUGCUGAAAGCAUCUAAGCACGAAACUUGCCCCGAGAU